RNAcentral lists this ribosomal RNA (301 nucleotides) under uncultured bacterium. RNAcentral's name for it is "partial 16S ribosomal RNA". It matches the Rfam family "Bacterial small subunit ribosomal RNA", at positions 509 to 807 of the family's 1533-position model. The record is from RNAcentral.
CAGCCGCCACGGUAAUACAGAGGUCCCGAGCGUUGUUCGGAUUCACUGGGCGUAAAGGGUGUGUAGGAGGUUGGAUAAGUCAGGUGUGAAAUCUCAGAGCUUAACUCUGAAACUGCGCUUGAUACUGCUUGGCUAGAGGAUCGGAGGGGGUAACGGAAUUUAUGGUGUAGCAGUGAAAUGCGUAGAUAUCAUAAGGAACACCGGUGGCGAAGGCGGUUACCUGGAAGAUUCCUGACUCUGAAACACGAAAGCCGGGGGAGCAAACGGGAUUAGAGACCCCAGUAGUCCCUGUCUCUUAUAC